CAUAACCUACGGGGGGCAGCAGUGGGGAAUAUUGCACAAUGGGGGAAACCCUGAUGCAGCGACGCCGCGUGAAGGAAGAAGUAUUUCGGUAUGUAAACUUCUAUCAGCAGGGAAGAAAAUGACGGUACCUGACUAAGAAGCCCCGGCUAACUACGUGCCAGCAGCCGCGGUAAUACGUAGGGGGUAAGCGUUAUCCGGAUUUACUGUGUGUAAAGGGAGCGUAGGCGGCGAUGCAAGUCAGAAGUGAGAGCCCGGGGCUCAACUCCGGGACUGCUUUUGAAACUGUGUUGCUAGAUUGCAGGAGG
RNAcentral lists this ribosomal RNA (305 nucleotides) under uncultured bacterium. RNAcentral describes it as "bacterial SSU rRNA". It matches the Rfam family "Bacterial small subunit ribosomal RNA", at positions 332 to 655 of the family's 1533-position model. The record is from RNAcentral.